GUUUCGAAUUACCGAAGUUCGGAAUUGGCGAAGUUCCAAAUUGCCUUAGUUCCGAAUUGCCGAAGUUCGGUAGUUCGGAAGUGCCAAACCGAACUGAAUGCAAUUGGUCCGAAUUGCCGAAGCAGACUAAUUUUUUUACUUACCUGAGUAAGUACAGUUGCUAUUUGUGUCUUCCUUUGACAUUGCUUUCCUGGCAGUAUAGUAUCCCUUUAACUCAAGUGAUAGGUGUUUUUUAC
Molecule: non-coding RNA, 236 nt
Organism: Pelobates cultripes (western spadefoot toad)
Lineage: Eukaryota; Metazoa; Chordata; Amphibia; Anura; Pelobatidae
Source: the annotation of a GenBank genome assembly